AGCGAACGCUAGCGGCGGGCCUAACACAUGCAAGUCGAGCGGGGAGCAAUCCCAGCGGCGAACGGGUGAGUAACACGUAGGUAAUGUGCCUUUUGGUGGGGAAUAACCGUGGGAAACCAUGGCUAAUACCGCAUAUCGUGCUUCGGCAUGAAAGCUUCUGAGGCAACUCGGGGGCGCCAGUUGAGCAGCCUGCGUCCCAUUAUUUAGUCCUAGUUGGUAGGGUAAUGGCCUACCAAGGGUACGAUGGGUAGCUGGUCUGAGAGGAUGAUCAGCCACACUGGAACUGAGACACGGUCCAGACUCCUACGGGAGGCAGCAGUGGGGAAUAUUGCGCAAUGGGGGAAACCCUGACGCAGCCACGCCGCGUGAGUGAUGAAGGCCUUCGGGUUGUAAAGCUCAAUAAGUGGGAAAAAAUAAGACCCGUAAGGGUGAUGAUGGUACCCAUCU
This 447-nucleotide ribosomal RNA is filed under the name uncultured bacterium. Its description in RNAcentral is "bacterial SSU rRNA". It matches the Rfam family "Bacterial small subunit ribosomal RNA", at positions 29 to 484 of the family's 1533-position model. The record is from RNAcentral.